This 622-nucleotide long non-coding RNA is filed under the name Mytilus galloprovincialis (Mediterranean mussel). Lineage: Eukaryota; Metazoa; Mollusca; Bivalvia; Mytilida; Mytilidae. The record is from RNAcentral.
GAUGAUAGUGUCAGUGUUUUCUCACCCAGUGGCAAGUCCUUAAUAACAUGGCUUGAUGUGAUGAAGUCCAAAAAGUGUUCUAGUUUGGCAUCAUCCACUCUCCCUCUUGUCUGUUUUUUCUUUUGCAACAGGUGCCCCCACUCCAAAUUCCUUAGCAUGUUUCUUUGCUGUAUAAAACUUGUGGCUCGUCAAGGAUGGAAUUUUUUUAUUAAUGUCCUCAAAUUUAGAAUGGCUUGAUAAGAUAGAGAGUAUCUGACACCUCACUGUUGAAGUUUCUGCCCUCAUGUAGCUUUCUACAAGAGCAUCAAUAAAUUGUGGAGAAUCAAUUCUUGUCAUAUUUUUUUUCCACUUUUGAAAAAAUAUUCUCUUUUAACUGCUCACCUUCUCCUGGGCACAUUGUCUCUAAAAGAAGAGAAAGGCAUUCAUUUGCUUUUUCAGUGUAUCUUCUUUGUGUCCUCUCACUUGAAUCACUCAAUGGCUCUCUAAUUUUCUUUACUGGGCUUGUGUUACAUGCUUGAAGAAAUUCAUUAAGCUUUCCAAGACGAUCAAUGUUAGCCACUGAUGCCUCCGAUGCUUGACUGUUUUGGCUCUGCUGUGUUUCCUGACUGGAUACAUUGCUGUC